AUACGUAUGUCGCAAGCGUUAUCCGGAUUUAUUGGGCGUAAAGCGCGUCUAGGCGGCUUAGUAAGUCUGAUGUGAAAAUGCGGGGCUCAACCCCGUAUUGCGUUGGAAACUGCUAAACUAGAGUACUGGAGAGGUAGGCGGAACUACAAGUGUAGAGGUGAAAUUCGUAGAUAUUUGUAGGAAUGCCGAUGGGGAAGCCAGCCUACUGGACAGAUACUGACGCUAAAGCGCGAAAGCGUGGGUAGCAAACAGGAUUAGAUACCCUGGUAGUCCACGCCGUAAACGAUGAUUACUAGGUGUUGGGGGUCGAACCUCAGCGCCCAAGCUAACGCGAUAAGUAAUCCGCCUGGGGAGCACGUACGCAAGUAUGAAACUUAAAGGAAUUGACGGGG
Molecule: ribosomal RNA, 392 nt
Filed under: uncultured bacterium
Lineage: Bacteria
Description: partial 16S ribosomal RNA
Rfam family: Bacterial small subunit ribosomal RNA
Source: RNAcentral